CAUCAGCCGCGGUAAUACGUAGGGUGCAAGCGUUAAUCGGAAUUACUGGGCGUAAAGCGUGCGCAGGCGGUUAUAUAAGACAGAUGUGAAAUCCCCGGGCUCAACCUGGGAACUGCAUUUGUGACUGUAUAGCUAGAGUACGGCAGAGGGGGAUGGAAUUCCGCGUGUAGCAGUGAAAUGCGUAGAUAUGCGGAGGAACACCGAUGGCGAAGGCAAUCCCCUGGGCCUGUACUGACGCUCAUGCACGAAAGCGUGGGGAGCAAACAGGAUUAGAUACCCGAGUAGUCCCUGUCUCUUAUAC
This 301-nucleotide ribosomal RNA is filed under the name uncultured bacterium. Its description in RNAcentral is "partial 16S ribosomal RNA". It matches the Rfam family "Bacterial small subunit ribosomal RNA", at positions 509 to 807 of the family's 1533-position model. The record is from RNAcentral.